This 687-nucleotide ribosomal RNA is filed under the name Arthrobacter sp. B15. Its description in RNAcentral is "bacterial SSU rRNA". It matches the Rfam family "Bacterial small subunit ribosomal RNA", at positions 126 to 826 of the family's 1533-position model. The record is from RNAcentral. Lineage: Bacteria; Bacillati; Actinomycetota; Actinomycetes; Micrococcales; Micrococcaceae.
CUGCCCUUGACUCUGGGAUAAGCCUGGGAAACUGGGUCUAAUACCGGAUACGACCAUCUGGCGCAUGUCAUGGUGGUGGAAAGCUUUUGUGGUUUUGGAUGGACUCGCGGCCUAUCAGCUUGUUGGUGGGGUAAUGGCCUACCAAGGCGACGACGGGUAGCCGGCCUGAGAGGGUGACCGGCCACACUGGGACUGAGACACGGCCCAGACUCCUACGGGAGGCAGCAGUGGGGAAUAUUGCACAAUGGGCGAAAGCCUGAUGCAGCGACGCCGCGUGAGGGAUGACGGCCUUCGGGUUGUAAACCUCUUUCAGUAGGGAAGAAGCGAAAGUGACGGUACCUGCAGAAGAAGCGCCGGCUAACUACGUGCCAGCAGCCGCGGUAAUACGUAGGGCGCAAGCGUUAUCCGGAAUUAUUGGGCGUAAAGAGCUCGUAGGCGGUUUGUCGCGUCUGCUGUGAAAGACCGGGGCUCAACUCCGGUUCUGCAGUGGGUACGGGCAGACUAGAGUGCAGUAGGGGAGACUGGAAUUCCUGGUGUAGCGGUGAAAUGCGCAGAUAUCAGGAGGAACACCGAUGGCGAAGGCAGGUCUCUGGGCUGUAACUGACGCUGAGGAGCGAAAGCAUGGGGAGCGAACAGGAUUAGAUACCCUGGUAGUCCAUGCCGUNNNCGUUGGGCACUAGGUGUGGG